RNAcentral lists this ribosomal RNA (787 nucleotides) under Clostridioides difficile. RNAcentral describes it as "bacterial LSU rRNA". It matches the Rfam family "Bacterial large subunit ribosomal RNA", at positions 125 to 917 of the family's 2925-position model. The record is from RNAcentral. Lineage: Bacteria; Bacillati; Bacillota; Clostridia; Peptostreptococcales; Peptostreptococcaceae.
AACUCACUUAGAGUAAUGUCUAAGUAUCAUUAAGUGAAUACAUAGCUUAAUGAGGGGAACUCAGGGAACUGAAACAUCUAAGUACCUGAAGGAAGAGAAAGAAAUUCGAUUCCGUAAGUAGCGGCGAGCGAACGCGGAUUAGCCCAAACCAAUAAAGUUUUCUUUAUUGGGGUUGCGGACAUAUCAUAACGAAGAGGUAUCGUAAUUGAAGAGGUUUGGAAAGACCCACCACAGAAGGUAAUAGUCCUGUAUGUUAAACGAGAAGACUUUAGAUAUGAUCCAGAGUACCACGGGACACGUGAAACCCUGUGGGAAGCAGGAGGGACCACCCUCCAAGGCUAAAUACUACCUAGUGACCGAUAGCGUAUAGUACCGUGAGGGAAAGGUGAAAAGAACCCCGGGAGGGGAGUGAAAUAGAACCUGAAACCCUGCACUUACAAGCUGUGGAAGCACAUUUCUUGUGUGACCGCGUACUUUUUGUAGAACGGGCCAACGAGUUACGUUAAGUAGCAAGGUUAAGCACUUAAGGUGUGGAGCCGUAGCGAAAGCGAGUUUAACUGAGCGUUCAGUUACUUGACGUAGACCCGAAACCGGGCGACCUACCCAUGAGCAGGAUGAAGCGAAAGUAAAAUUUCGUGGAGGUCCGAACCCACGAGCGUUGAAAAGCUCGGGGAUGACUUGUGGGUAGCGGUGAAAUUCCAAUCGAGCCCGGAGAUAGCUGGUUCUCCCCGAAAUAGCUUUAGGGCUAGCCUCAAGGUGAGAGAUACGGAGGUAGAGCACUGAAUGU